RNAcentral lists this ribosomal RNA (416 nucleotides) under Acanthamoeba genotype T4. RNAcentral describes it as "SSU rRNA". It matches the Rfam family "Eukaryotic small subunit ribosomal RNA", at positions 779 to 1089 of the family's 1831-position model. The record is from RNAcentral. Lineage: Eukaryota; Discosea; Longamoebia; Acanthamoebidae.
AGCAGGCAGAUUCAUUUUCUCGCCACCGAAUACAUUAGCAUGGGAUAAUGGAAUAGGACCCUGUCCUCCUAUUUUCAGUUGGUUUUGGCAGCGCGAGGACUAGGGUAAUGAUUAAUAGGGAUAGUUGGGGGCAUUAAUAUUUAAUUGUCAGAGGUGAAAUUCUUGGAUUUAUGAAAGAUUAACUUCUGCGAAAGCAUCUGCCAAGGAUGUUUUCAUUAAUCAAGAACGAAAGUUAGGGGAUCGAAGACGAUCAGAUACCGUCGUAGUCUUAACCAUAAACGAUGCCGACCAGCGAUUAGGAGACGUUGAAUACAAAACACCACCAUCGGCGCGGUCGCCCUUGGCGUUCGUGUUCACGCACGGGCGCGAGGGCGGCUUAGCCCGAUGGCACCGGUGAAUGACUCCCCUAGCAGCUU